AGGACGAACGCUGCCCGGGUUUCCUAAUACGUGCAAGUCGAACGCUUCUUUCCUCCCGAGUGCUUAGCACUCAAUUGGAACAGACGGAGUGGGCCGGACCGGGUGAGUAACACGUGGGUAACCUACCCAUCAGAGGGGGAUGACACUUGGAAACAGGUGCUAAUACCCGCAUAACAGUUUAUGCCGCAUGGCCAUAAGCAGUGAAAGGCGCUUUCGGGUGUCGCUGAUGGAUGGACCCGCGGUGCAUUAGCGUAGUUGGUGAGGUAACGGCUCACCAAGGCCACGAUGCAUAGCCGACCUGAGAGGGUGAUCGGCACACUGGGACUGAGACACGGCCAGACUCCUACGGGAGGCAGCAGUAGGGAAUCUUCGGCAAUGGACGAAACGUCUGACCGAGCAACGCCGCGUGAGUGACCGAAGGUUUCCGGAUCGUAAAACCUCUGUUGUCAGAGAAGAACAAGGACGUUCAGUAACUGAACGUCCCCUGACGGUAUCUAACCAGAAAGCCACGGCUAACUACGUGCCAGCAGCCGCGGUCACUACGUAGUGGCAAGCGGUUGUCCGGAUCUCAUUGGGCGUAAACGCGAGCGCACGCGGUACACUUACAGUCUCGAUCGUCGAAAGCCCCCGGUCAACCGGGGCAGGGUCAUUUGGCACCUGGGGAAACUUGCUUCGCCCAACGAAGGGCAGCAGUGGGAAUACCCC
RNAcentral lists this ribosomal RNA (705 nucleotides) under uncultured low G+C Gram-positive bacterium. RNAcentral describes it as "bacterial SSU rRNA". It matches the Rfam family "Bacterial small subunit ribosomal RNA", at positions 26 to 672 of the family's 1533-position model. The record is from RNAcentral. Lineage: Bacteria; Bacillati; Bacillota.